This 402-nucleotide ribosomal RNA is filed under the name Ixodida sp. RNAcentral's name for it is "partial large subunit ribosomal RNA". Lineage: Eukaryota; Metazoa; Arthropoda; Arachnida; Ixodida. The record is from RNAcentral.
AUCUACAUAGAUUUUAUUGAUGCUAAAGAAUGGAAAAUUAAAAAAAAACUUUUUUAAAAAUAAAAAUUGAAUUUUUUUUAAUUUGUGCAAAAACAAUUAUAUUUAUUAAAGACAAGAAGACCCUAAGAAUUUAAGAUUUUACAAUUAAAAAGUUUUUUUUUAAAAAUUUUGAUGGGGGGAACCAAAAAAUAUUAAUAACUUUUUAAAAUUUAAAUUGAUCUAUUAUUAAUAAACUAAUGAAUUAAAUACUCUAGGGAUAACAGCGAAAUAAUUUUUGAUAAAUCUUAUUGACAAAAUAGUUUGCGACCUCAAGGUUGGAUUAGGAUUCUUUUUUAAGGAAAAAGUAAAAAAAAGAAGUUGGUCCACCUUUUAAAUUCCUACUUGAUCUGAGUCCAAACCGGA